UAUAUAGGUAACCUACCUUUUGAAUCGGGAUAAUUUCUGGAAACGGAUUGUAAUACCGAAUGGUCUUUUUGGGCUGCAUGGCCCGAUUAGUAAAUGGUUGCUCUGCUUCUGUCAGAAGAGGGGCCUAUAUCCUAUUAGCUAGUUGGUGAGGUAACUGCUCACCAAGGCAUUGAUGGGUAGCCGGACUGAGAGGUUGGCCGGUCACACUGGGACUGAGACACUGCCCAGACUCCUACGGGAGGCUGCAGUCGAGAAUCUUCCGCAAUGGGCGAAAGCCUGACGGGGGCGACGCCGCGUGAACGAAGAAGGCCUUCGGGUUGUAAAGUUCUGUCGAGGGGGAAGAAUGCCCAGGGGUUAAUAGCCUUCUGGGUUGACGUUACUCCUGGAGGAAGCCCUGGCUAACUCCGUGCCAGCAGCCGCGGUAAUACGGAGAGGGCAAGCGUUGUUCGGAUUUACUGGGCAUAAAGCGCACGUAGGCGGGUUUUCAAGUCGGUUGUGAAAUCCCGGGGCUCAACCCCGGAACUGCUUCCGAAACUGAAAGUCUGGAGGACGAGAGGGGAGAGUGGAACUUCUGGUGGAGCGGUGAAAUGCGUAGAUAUCAGAAGGAACACCGGUGGCGAAAGCGACUCUCUGGCUCGUUUCUGACGCUGAGGUGCGAAAGCUAGGGGAGCGAACGGGAUUAGAUACCCCGGUAGUCCUAGCCGUAAACGAUGAGCACUAGGUAGUGGCGGCUCUGAGGCCGUCGCUGCUGUAGCUAAUGUGUUAAGUGCUCCGCCUGGGGAGUAUGGACGCAAGGCUAAAACUCAAAGGAAUUGACGGGGGCUCCACAAGCGGAGGAGGAUGUGGCUUAAUUCGAGCGUACGCGAAGAACCUUAUCCUGGUCUUGACAUGCAUUUCUAAGGCAGCGAAAGCUGCUGACCUUCGGGGCUCUUGCACAGGUGCUGCAUGGCUGUCGUCAGCUCGUGUCGUGAGAUGUCGGGUUAAGUCCCUUAACGAGCGAAACCCUUGUCUCUAGUUGCCAGCGAGUAAUGUCGGGGACUCUAGAGAGACUGCCGGUGUUAAACCGGAGGAAGGUGGGGAUGACGUCAAGUCCUCAUGGCCUUUAUGACUAGGGCUGCACACGUCCUACAAUGCGGCAUACAAAGGGAAGCGAACCCGUGAGGGGGAGCAAACCCCAAAAAGUGUCGCUCAGUUCGGAUUGCAGGCUGCAACUCGCCUGCAUGAAGCUGGAAUCGCUAGUAAUCGCGGGUCAGCAUACCGCGGUGAAUGUGUUCCUGAGCC
Molecule: ribosomal RNA, 1281 nt
Filed under: uncultured prokaryote
Description: partial 16S ribosomal RNA
Rfam family: Bacterial small subunit ribosomal RNA
Source: RNAcentral